Molecule: transfer RNA, 63 nt
Filed under: Fukomys damarensis (Damara mole-rat)
Lineage: Eukaryota; Metazoa; Chordata; Mammalia; Rodentia; Bathyergidae
Rfam family: tRNA
About the family: Transfer RNA (tRNA) molecules are approximately 80 nucleotides in length. Their secondary structure includes four short double-helical elements and three loops (D, anti-codon, and T loops).
Source: Rfam by way of RNAcentral
GGGGAUUUAGCUCAGUGGCACCGCAUAUGCCUCCAAAGCAUAAGGUCCUGAGUUCAAUCUCCA